AGUGAACGCUGGCGGUAGGCUUAACACAUGCAAGUCGAACGGCAGCACAGUAAAAGCUUGCUCUUACGGGUGGCGAGUGGCGGACGGGUGAGGAAUACAUCGGAAUCUACUUUUUCGCGGGGGAUAACGUAGGGAAACUUACGCUAAUACCGCAUACGAAAUACGGGUGAAAGCAGGGGAUCUUCGGACCUUGCGCGAUUGAAUGAGCCGAUGUCGGAUUAGCUAGUUGGCGGGGUAAAGGCCCACCAAGGCAACGAUCCGUAGCUGGUCUGAGAGGAUGAUCAGCCACACUGGAACUGAGACACGGCCCAGACUCCUACGGGAGGCAGCAGUGGGGAAUAUUGGACAAUGGGCGCAAGCCUGAUCCAGCCAUACCGCGUGGGGGAAGAAGGCCUUCGGGUUGUAAAGCCCUUUUGUUGGGAAAGAAAAGCAGCAGGUUAAUACCCCGCUGUUCUGACGGUACCCAAAGAAUAAGCACCGGCUAACUUCGUG
RNAcentral lists this ribosomal RNA (492 nucleotides) under uncultured bacterium. RNAcentral's name for it is "partial 16S ribosomal RNA". It matches the Rfam family "Bacterial small subunit ribosomal RNA", at positions 29 to 507 of the family's 1533-position model. The record is from RNAcentral.